RNAcentral lists this unclassified non-coding RNA (335 nucleotides) under soil metagenome. Its description in RNAcentral is "partial contains 5.8S ribosomal RNA, internal transcribed spacer 2, and large subunit ribosomal RNA". The stretch from base 1 to 120 matches the Rfam family "5.8S ribosomal RNA", at positions 35 to 154 of the family's 154-position model. The record is from RNAcentral.
GAUGAAGAACGUAGCGAAAUGCGAUAAGUAAUGUGAAUUGCAGAAUUCAGUGAAUCAUCGAAUCUUUGAACGCACAUUGCGCCCGCCAGUAUUCUGGCGGGCAUGCCUGUUCGAGCGUCAUUUCAACCAUCAAGCCCCAGGCUUUUGUUGGGGACCUGCGGCUGCCGCAGGCCCUGAAAACCAGUGGCGGGCUCGCUGUCACACCGGGCGUAGUAGAUUUUAUCUCGCUCAGGGCGUGCUGCGGGUUCCGGCCGUUAAAAAGCCUUUUUUACCCAAGGUUGACCUCGGAUCAGGUAGGAAGACCCGCUGAACUUAAGCAUAUCAAUAAGCGGAGA